Homo sapiens (human) is the source of this 428-nucleotide long non-coding RNA. RefSeq lists it as uncharacterized. The record is from RefSeq and is a predicted model, not a curated record. Lineage: Eukaryota; Metazoa; Chordata; Mammalia; Primates; Hominidae. The transcript has 3 exons.
UCCAUUUCCCCAGGUUACUUCACCCCUGGGGUCUCGACUCAGAAUAGAGAUUGAGAAUCACAGAUCUAGUUGAACCAUCCAACUUUUGAACAUGAAUAAACUGAGGACCCAGAGGUGAAGUGAUUUUUCCACAGUCCCACGACAGAUAUGGCCAAACCAGGGAUCCUUUUGCAUUGUGGUUUUGGGAAUCACCUGUAAACAGUAAGAACAAAGUAGCAAGGCUGGGGCUCAGCUGUAGACAAUAAAGCCUUUGCCUGAGGGUUGCAGGAAUGAGAGGCCUCUCUGAGAGGCCCCAAGUCGAUUUUGCCCUUCUCCAGAGACAGAGAGCUGGUCUACCUGAGGCUGACAUGGGGAGGAAAGGCAAAGAGAAGGAUUGCCUGAAUGUCAAUGGUGAUUUUGCACAUUUUACAGUCACUUUUAUAAAAAGG